Pogoniulus pusillus (Red-fronted tinkerbird) is the source of this 722-nucleotide long non-coding RNA. RefSeq lists it as uncharacterized. The record is from RefSeq and is a predicted model, not a curated record. NCBI's taxonomy places the organism in Eukaryota, Metazoa, Chordata, Aves, Piciformes, Lybiidae. The transcript is spliced from 5 exons.
CCCACAGCACCUGGGCUCUGUUGCAGCCUCCUCCCACCCCAGCUGUGGCCACUUUGCCCUCCCUGCCCACUGCCCUAUUUAAGCAGCCCCAGGACAGGCAGCAGCCCCAAGCUUGCCCAACUGGGCAGAGGAUCCUCCUCCUGUCACCACAGGCUGAGCUCUUGCAUGUUCAGCUGCUUCUUGCUCCCCCCUUGUGACCCUGCAGCAGCGCCAGGACUGGAGCUGGGAGCAGCACUGGGAGCAGCACUGCCUUAGCCGCAGCUCCACCACACCAAACCUUCAGCUCCUCUGGACUGAAUGAAGGUGCUCAGGUGAAGCUACCAUAGAAGGAAGGAAUGAUCCAUGCUGCUACAGCACAGAGCAAGGGCAGCAGGGCUGGAAAUCAGAAAUCCACUUUUGAAGCCAGGGUUGAGCAGCAGGAACCUUCUGUGACUGCAAAUGGGCUCCAGGAGAUGUUUUUCUGUGUCCUUUUGGGAUGACACAGCCUUCUGGAAGCAAACAUCAGGCUGCAAGAGACUUGAAGAUUUCCUUGGAUGGUAGAUUUCCCAAGGUCAGCAAAGCAUUGUUUGCUUGCAGCCAACUGGGAAGGAAAAGCAUUCCUGGCCUUUAAAAAUGAGUGUUGUCCACUGCUGGGUUUGCAAAAGGAGUGGAGUGGAAUCUGGGUGAGCUGGAGAGGCUGGAAUUGCAUCAAAGCUCUUUAAGAGACAAUUAAACUUAACAAU